RNAcentral lists this transfer RNA (87 nucleotides) under Candidatus Omnitrophota bacterium. Its description in RNAcentral is "tRNA-Leu". It matches the Rfam family "tRNA". Rfam says of the family: Transfer RNA (tRNA) molecules are approximately 80 nucleotides in length. Their secondary structure includes four short double-helical elements and three loops (D, anti-codon, and T loops). Lineage: Bacteria; Pseudomonadati; Candidatus Omnitrophota. The record is from RNAcentral.
GCAGAAGUGGCGGAAUUGGCAGACGCGCUAGGUUCAGGACCUAGUGGGGGCAACCUCAUGGGGGUUCAACUCCCCCCUUCUGCACCA